This 253-nucleotide ribosomal RNA is filed under the name uncultured bacterium. Its description in RNAcentral is "partial 16S ribosomal RNA". It matches the Rfam family "Bacterial small subunit ribosomal RNA", at positions 524 to 776 of the family's 1533-position model. The record is from RNAcentral.
UACAGAGGGUGCGAGCGUUAAUCGGAUUUACUGGGCGUAAAGGGCGCGUAGGCGGUUGUGUGAGUGUGAUGUGAAAGCCCCGGGCUUAACCUGGGAAGUGCAUCGCAAACGACAUAACUGGAGUAUAAGAGAGGGUGGCGGAAUUUCCGGUGUAGCGGUGAAAUGCGUAGAGAUCGGAAGGAACGUCAAUGGCGAAGGCAGCCACCUGGCUUAAUACUGACGCUGAGGCGCGAAAGCGUGGGGAUCAAACAGG